Molecule: ribosomal RNA, 319 nt
Filed under: uncultured eukaryote
Lineage: Eukaryota
Description: partial 18S ribosomal RNA
Rfam family: Eukaryotic small subunit ribosomal RNA
Source: RNAcentral
CCCUUAGAUGUUCUGGGCUGCACGCGUGCUACAAUGGCGUUUCCAGCAAGUCUGCGAACCCGAGAGGGCCAGCGGAUCUUCGAAUUGGCGUCGUGAUCGGGACAGUCGAUUGCAAUUAUUUGACUCAAACGAGGAAUUCCUUGUAAUCGCGAUUCAUCAUAUCGCGCUGAAUACGUCCCUGCCCUUUGUACACACCGCCCGUCGCUCCUACCGAUUGAGCGAUCCGGUAAAUGUUUUGGAUUGGUGCCGGGGCGGCUAGCUGCCGGUCGCUACGAAAUUUUGUGAACCUUAUCACUUAGAGGAAGGAGAAGUCGUAACA